Molecule: ribosomal RNA, 1239 nt
Filed under: Enterococcus faecalis
Lineage: Bacteria; Bacillati; Bacillota; Bacilli; Lactobacillales; Enterococcaceae
Description: bacterial SSU rRNA
Rfam family: Bacterial small subunit ribosomal RNA
Source: RNAcentral
GGGGGGAUAACAGUACAUGCAGUCGAACGCUUCUUUCCUCCCGAGUGCUUGCACUCAAUUGGAAAGAGGAGUGGCGGACGGGUGAGUAACACGUGGGUAACCUACCCAUCAGAGGGGGAUAACACUUGGAAACAGGUGCUAAUACCGCAUAACAGUUUAUGCCGCAUGGCAUAAGAGUGAAAGGCGCUUUCGGGUGUCGCUGAUGGAUGGACCCGCGGUGCAUUAGCUAGUUGGUGAGGUAACGGCUCACCAAGGCCACGAUGCAUAGCCGACCUGAGAGGGUGAUCGGCCACACUGGGACUGAGACACGGCCCAGACUCCUACGGGAGGCAGCAGUAGGGAAUCUUCGGCAAUGGACGAAAGUCUGACCGAGCAACGCCGCGUGAGUGAAGAAGGUUUUCGGAUCGUAAAACUCUGUUGUUAGAGAAGAACAAGGACGUUAGUAACUGAACGUCCCCUGACGGUAUCUAACCAGAAAGCCACGGCUAACUACGUGCCAGCAGCCGCGGUAAUACGUAGGUGGCAAGCGUUGUCCGGAUUUAUUGGGCGUAAAGCGAGCGCAGGCGGUUUCUUAAGUCUGAUGUGAAAGCCCCCGGCUCAACCGGGGAGGGUCAUUGGAAACUGGGAGACUUGAGUGCAGAAUAGGAGAGUGGAAUUCCAUGUGUAGCGGUGAAAUGCGUAGAUAUAUGGAGGAACACCAGUGGCGAAGGCGGCUCUCUGGUCUGUAACUGACGCUGAAGCUCGAAAGCGUGGGGAGCAAACAGGAUUAGAUACCCUGGUAGUCCACGCCGUAAACGAUGAGUGCUAAUGUUGGAGGGUUCCGCCCUUCAGUGCUGCACAAACGCAUUAAGCACUCCGCCUGGGGAGUACGACCGCAAGGUUGAACUCAAAGGAUUGACGGGGCCGCACAACGGUGGACAUGUGGUUUAUUCCAAGCACGCGAAGAACUUACCAGGCUUGACUCCUUGACCCUCUAAAAUAGACUUUCCUUCGGGACAAGUGACAGUGGUGCAGGGUAUCGUCACUCGUGCGUGAAUGUGGGUUAAUCCGCACGAGCGCACCUUAUUGUAGUGCCUCAUUAUUGGGCAUCUACGAGAUGCCGUGACAACCGAAGAAGUGGGAUGACUCAAUCACAUGCCCUUUGACUGGGUACACCUGCUCAUGGGAAUAAACAAUCCUUACCCCAGGCAGGAAUCUAAAGUCUUCAUUCGAUUAAGGGCACUCCCGCUAAACCGAACC